GAGGGUGUAGCUCAGUGGUAGAACACAUGCUGAGCAUGCCCCAGGUCCUGGGUUCAAUCCCCAGCACCUCCA
This 72-nucleotide transfer RNA is filed under the name Camelus bactrianus (Bactrian camel). It matches the Rfam family "tRNA". From Rfam's summary of the family: Transfer RNA (tRNA) molecules are approximately 80 nucleotides in length. Their secondary structure includes four short double-helical elements and three loops (D, anti-codon, and T loops). RNAcentral also lists the same sequence under 1 other name. Lineage: Eukaryota; Metazoa; Chordata; Mammalia; Artiodactyla; Camelidae. The record is from Rfam by way of RNAcentral.